GAUGAACGCUGGCGGCGUGCCUAAUACAUGCAAGUCGAGCGAACGGAUGAGGAGCUUGCUCCUCUGACGUUAGCGGCGGACGGGUGAGUAACACGUGGAUAACCUACCUAUAAGACUGGGAUAACUUCGGGAAACCGGAGCUAAUACCGGAUAAUAUUUUGAACCGCAUGGUUCAAUAGUGAAAGACGGUUUUGCUGUCACUUAUAGAUGGAUCCGCGCCGCAUUAGCUAGUUGGUAAGGUAACGGCUUACCAAGGCAACGAUGCGUAGCCGACCUGAGAGGGUGAUCGGCCACACUGGAACUGAGACACGGUCCAGACUCCUACGGGAGGCAGCAGUAGGGAAUCUUCCGCAAAGGGCGAAAGCCUGACGGAGCAACGCCGCGUGAGUGAUGAAGGUCUUCGGAUCGUAAAACUCUGUUAUUGGGGAAGAACAUAUGUGUAAGUAACUAUGCACGUCUUGACGGUACCUAAUCAGAAAGCCACGGCUAACUACGUG
Molecule: ribosomal RNA, 497 nt
Filed under: uncultured bacterium
Lineage: Bacteria
Description: partial 16S ribosomal RNA
Rfam family: Bacterial small subunit ribosomal RNA
Source: RNAcentral